Molecule: regulatory RNA element, 178 nt
Rfam family: Lysine riboswitch aptamer
About the family: Riboswitches are metabolite binding domains within certain messenger RNAs that serve as precision sensors for their corresponding targets. Allosteric rearrangement of mRNA structure is mediated by ligand binding, and this results in modulation of gene expression.
Source: Rfam
GUAUUGAAAAGAGGUCGCAUUCGAUAUGAGUAACCGAGCUGAGCUAGUAAGGUAGCAAAGAAGCUGGGCUAAAGGAGAGAAUGCCGAAGCAAGUGAGUUCCUUAAGCUUACUUGCUGGGCCCUAACUGAAUAAGUUAGGGACUGUCGCAGCCUAUGACUGCGGAGCGCUAUUCAGACA